Long non-coding RNA from Panthera uncia (snow leopard), 671 nucleotides. RefSeq lists it as uncharacterized. NCBI's taxonomy places the organism in Eukaryota, Metazoa, Chordata, Mammalia, Carnivora, Felidae. The transcript is spliced from 6 exons. The record is from RefSeq and is a predicted model, not a curated record.
AUGUGGAGUGGAACCUUGGUCAGGAGGAUAGGCAGUUGGGAUGGAAUGGGAUUCCUGGCUAAGGAGUGACCUUUUAGCAUCGGCUGUAUCUGGUAAGACACCAAGUGUCUACCUUUCAAGGAACGAAUUCAACCUCUUUUUGAUUACCUUGUCAAGCCAAACGCCACCUGACCUUAAUCUGGACUACAGAGACCUGAAACUGACACCAGCCCCCUCAUACGAGGCAAGCCCUAUACAGCAACCACAGCAUCACAAGCAAAUCAGGUUAUGAUGCUGCUGAUUGACAUAUGAUACCCUGUAGGCGAUGUGGGAGAGAGAGGCCAUGACUGCAGGAGUAGAGUCCUUCAUGGAGGUCUGAGGAGGCUCUAAAAACACCACCACCGGAAAUUCUCCCAAGUCUGCAUCUCACGGCAAUGCAGACUUUUGCAGAGUGCGUCCAGGUAUAGCUGCACAGUGCACCCCAUCAGAUUAAGACCUGGCCUGCUCCUAGACCAUAGAUCUUGCCAGAUACAGUUCAUGCUCCAUUAUCCACUCUAAUGGAGGAAAGUUGGACAGCAUAAUUAAAAACAACGGGCAACCUUGAAAGGACCAGAAAUCCACGGGUAACAUACAGUCCUGCCUUGUGCCGUUGGAUGAUGUGGUGUCAGUCCGUAUGCUGAGCAGAGCACAAG